This 412-nucleotide long non-coding RNA is filed under the name Setaria italica (foxtail millet). RNAcentral's name for it is "long non-coding RNA (SITA_LNC002185)". Lineage: Eukaryota; Viridiplantae; Streptophyta; Magnoliopsida; Poales; Poaceae. The record is from RNAcentral.
GUGAUUUUUAGAAUAAGCUACAAUAGAGAAAUUCAAGGAGACCAAGAGACCACUGUAUACUCCUUCUUAUCGUGGUUGAUCGAAUCGCGGUCUAUAUCCUGAACUCUUUGAGGAGACCAAGAGAUCAAUACACCAACCUCAUAGUGAUGCUUAACAGAGCAUGGGCUCGCUUCUAUCAACAUCACUCAGGUGAAUUCAAGGUGUAACUUGAUAUCAAGCCUGAAUUCCCGGUAUGUAUUGAAUUUGCACAUCUGUGUCACUUCCUUGAACACAACAGAUAUUUCAUAAGUUCUUUUGCGAUAUAUACAGUGUCUGAGACAUGACCCAGGGAAUAAUUUAUGCGGAUACUACGUAUGUGAGUUCAUCCAUAGCUUUGUAGGUCCCAAGCGUGUGACCGACCACGAACUCAGAG